Molecule: ribosomal RNA, 499 nt
Filed under: uncultured bacterium
Lineage: Bacteria
Description: partial 16S ribosomal RNA
Rfam family: Bacterial small subunit ribosomal RNA
Source: RNAcentral
GACGAACGCUGGCGGCGUGCUUAACACAUGCAAGUCGAACGGGCCCGCCCCUGUUUUUGGGGGUGGGUUGAGUGGCGAACGGGUGAGUAUCACGUGAGUAACCUGCCCCCUGCUCCUGGAUAACUGCUUGAAAGGGCGGCUAAUACGGGGUGUGCCGGCUGGUCCGCAUGGGCCUGGUCGGGAUAGUUUCAUCUUCGGGUGUUUCGGUGGGGGAUGGGCUCGCGGCCUAUCAGCUUGUUGGUGGGGUGAUGGCCCACCAAGGCGGUGACGGGUAGCCGGACUGAGGGGGUGGGCGGCCACACUGGGACUGAGACACCGCACAGACUCCUGCGGGAGGCAGCAGUGGGGGGUAUUGCACAGUGGGCGGAAGCCUGAUGCAGCGACGUCGCGUGAGGGAUGGAGGCCUUCGGGUUGUGAACCUCUUUCUCCGGUGGUGAAGGCCCCGUCCGUUGCGGCGGGGUUGACGGUAGCCGGGUAUGAAGCGCCGGCUAACUACGUG